RNAcentral lists this long non-coding RNA (4709 nucleotides) under Patiria miniata (bat star). RNAcentral's name for it is "uncharacterized LOC119721958". Lineage: Eukaryota; Metazoa; Echinodermata; Asteroidea; Valvatida; Asterinidae. The record is from RNAcentral.
UACCAUACUUACGCAUGCGCGGUAUUACCAAUGAGUCCGAAUUUCAUAGAAACGUAAAUUCACGCUACACCGGUAGUGAAAGGAAUUGUAGGCUCUCACGAAGUAGAUGUGUUACGAGAUGCAGGUUGUAGCACAACAGUAAUUAGGAAAAGUUUGGUUAAUGAGGAUCAAAUGUUAGGAUCGCAGAGCCAUUGUGUUCUAUUGGAUGGUACUGUGCGUAACUAUCCAGUAGCUAGGAUUGAAGUAGAUUCACCUUAUUUUAAGGGCACUGUUGAGGCUUUGUGUAUGGAGAGUCCGUUGCAUGGGUUAGUCCUAGGCAACAUAGCAGGAGUAAGAGAACAGGACAAUCCGGAUCCAUUGUGGUAGUUGCCAGUAAUGAAGGAUGAGUUAGCUCGUCAAGAUACAGUAGAGGAUACAGUAGGAGCAGUACAGACUCGUAGUCAGAAGGCUAAACAGGAAAAACCGUUUCCAUGCCUUAAGGUCCCUACUAAGGAAAAUGUUGCUAGUACAGAUGAAUUUGCUAAGGAGCAGAUAACAGAUGCAACUUUAGAGAAAGUAAGAAAUCUUGCUGAGACAGGUUCUGUACGUAUUACAGGUAGUGCAAACGAGACCAGAUUUGUGAAGAACAGAAACCUGUAUUACAGAGAGUUUAAGUCGCCAAAGAUAGAGAAGGGUCGAUUGUUUAGACAGUUAGUUGUGCCUAAGAUAUUCAGAGACAAGGUACUUAAGUUAGCGCACGAUUCGUUAGCGCACGAGGCCUACACGGCGAUGUCAGGAGAUACUGUGCUUCGUGCGACAUAUGUCAGCGUACAGUCCCGAAGGGUAGAGUAGGAAAGGUUUCCUUAGACAAAAUGCCUCUCAUAGAUACUCCUUUUCGUAGGGUAGCAGUAGAUAUCGUAGGCCCCAUCCAUCCAGUUACAGAUCAGGGAAAUCGUUACAUUCUGACAAUUGUAGAUUAUGCGACCAGAUACCCCGAAGCUAUAGCAUUGCCUAGAAUAGAAUCAGAGAGGGUAGCUUAGGCACUUCUUACCGUUUUCACUAGGGUAGGAGUUCCACAGGAAAUACUUACCGACUUAGGGACUCGGUUCACCUCUGAAGUAAUGCAGGAAGUGGGGCGCUUGCUUUCAAUCAAUCAGUUGCAUACUACCCCAUAUCAUCCUAUGUGCAAUGGGCUCGUCGAGCGCUUUAACGGCACAAUGAAAAGAAUGCUUCGCAGAAUGUGCGCAGAACGCCCCAAAGAUUGGGACAGGUACCUGCCUGCGUUAUUGUUUGCUUAUCGUGAAGUGCCGCAGGAAAGCUUAGUUUUCUCGCCAUUUGAGCUACUGUACGGGCGUACGGUCAGAGGCCGUUUGGAAAUUUUGCGGGAAUUAUGGACAAACACUACCAGUGAAGAAGAAAUCAAAACGACAUACGAGUAUGUCAUUGAUCUCAGAAAUGGGCUUGAAUACCUGUCAAAUGGCACAGGAAGAAUUGUCAAAAGCAUCAGGGAGGUAUAAGAAAUACUAUGAUACCAGAACCAGAUAUAGGAAAUUUGUAGAGGGAGACCAAGUUCUUGUACUAUUACCCAUACAGACUCAAAUAAAUUGUUGUUACAGUGGAAAGGUCCUUUCGGAGUGACAAGUAAAGUAGGCAAACACGACUAUCGAAUAGACCAAAAUGGCAAGACAAAAAUAUAUCAUGCCAAUUUGUUGAGAAAGUAUGUCAGAAGGGAAAAUACAUAAGACAGGGUAUCUGCAGGUUCAUGUUUACAACUGUUAGGUGCAGGAAUUGUAGAGUUUUAAGAUGAUGUUGAUGACGUGGUAAAUAGUGAGCUACCAUCAGUCGAACAAACUGAAACUGUUCAAGAUGUUCACAUUGGUCAAACAGAGAGUGAAACUGAAUCUGCCAAAAUUCAAGAGCUGUUGAGUGAAUUUGGGGAUGUUUUGACUGAUUUACCAGGUAAAACAGAAUUAAUCGAGUUCAAGGUAAAACUGACCACCACAGAUCCAGUAAAAUCCAAAGCUUAUCAAGUACCACAUGCAGUUAGGGACACAGUUAAGCAAGAAAUUGAUGCCAUGUUGAGAAUGGGGGUCAUAGAAAAGUCGGAAUCGGCUUAUGCGUCACCAAUUGUAUUAGUUCAUAGACCAGAUGGCAAGGUGAGAUUCUGUAUCGAUUACAGAAAAUUGAAUGCAAUAACAGUUUUCGAUCCAGAACCUAUUCCGAAUGUUGAGGAUUUGCUUGUUCAAAUUUCAGGUGGAAAAUUUUUCACUAAACUAGACCUAUCUAAGGGCUAUUGACAGAUCCCCGUCACAAAAGAAGAUAGAGAGAAAACAACCUUUGUUACUUCAGAAGGAGGAUUAUUUCAGUUUACCGUAUUACCAUUCGGGUUAGUUAAUGCACCAGCCGUAUUCAGUCGUAUGAUGCGUAGAUUACUUGAUGGUAUAGAUCAUGUGGUUAUCUAUAUCGAUGACAUAUCAAUUUUCACAGACACAUCCGGGCAACACAUUGAGGUAGUUGGCAAAGUUCUAGAGAGGCUCCGUGGAGAGGGUCUCACUGCAAGACCAAGCAAAUGUUAAGUUGUAUAUAAGUCACUUGAGUUCUUGGGGCAUGUUGUGAGUAAAGGGUUAAUUAAACCAGUCCCGAGAAAGGUUGACGCAAUUUUGGCCACACAGAGACCCCGCACAAAAAAGGAGGUCAGGUCAUUUUGGGGUUUGGUAGGGUACUACCAAAAAUUCAUACCAAAUUUCUUGGCCAUUGCCGCACCUCUGGCAGAUUUGACAAAGCACGGGAAGUCAAAUAAUGUUGAAUAGGGAGAACCACAAGAGUUGGCGUUCAAUUUUACACCUGCCGAUUUUACACCUGCCAGAUACAGAUAAGACAUAUGUAGUUCGUACUGAUGCAUCCGAUAAAGGUCUAGGUGCUGUACUCAUGCAAGAAGUGGAAGGGGAAAAGUUCCCUAUUUGUUUUGCAAGUAAGAAACUUCUAAAAAGAGAACAAGCGUAUUCAGUAAUUGAAAAAGAAUGUCUGGCUUUGGUAUGGGCAGUGAAGAAGUUUCAUGUGUAUUUGUAUGGGAAACAGUUCGAAAUUGAAACAGAUCAUCACCCACUUGCAUACAUAGCUAAAACCAAGCUGAGUAAUAGCAGAGUGAUGCGUUGGGCUUUGAGCUUACAGCCAUAUCGAUACGUAGUGAGAGUAAUUAGGGGUAAAGACAAUAUUGGAGCAGAUUUUUUUGAGUCGUUGUCUACCUUGAAUGUACGAAAAAUCAAAUUUGUGAAUUAUAAGAAGGAUGAAAUUUAAAAUCAUUCCAUCUUCUUCCAGUGGGGAGUAAUUGUCACAGUUGAUGUGAAUAUUUAAUUUCCAGACUUAUACUGUAUAGCUUUUUCUUUUUGUGAUUGUAUUAUGGGGAAGCGACCCCAACCUAAUUGAUAUAUAUACAUGUAUACUGUGAAACUUUUUGUCAUUGUAUUACGGGAGAGACCUCAACCUAAUUCACAUACUCUGAAACUUUUGUGUGUGAUUGUAUUAGGGAGAGACCCAACCUAAUUUUUUUGAUGUAUUAGAAGUCCACGAAGUUGGAAUUGGGGUAAUCUUAUCAUGACUUGACUCCAGUUGAACACUUUGGCAUUACAAUGUAUAAGCUGUAAAUCCUAUAAGUAUUUAACAAUGGUGGGAUUUAACUGAGCAGUCCGUGCCUGUCAGUAAAUUAACUUGACAUGUUCUGAGGUUUUGAAAUACUUUUGGACCAUCAGUCUUGGUUAUAAAAUCCAGAUUGGGGCGUUGGCUAGGCACUUGGAGGCGAGACCAGGACCUACACUACGUCAGGGCAUGUUAUGCUCAUGUGUACCCACAUUGGGGAGUUGUAGGUUCCUAGUGAACUGAGUUUGCAAUUAUUUGCGCCGUUGGGAAUGAGUCCCACAGAGUUGGUAUAGGCUGCGGCCGUCCUCGUGUCCUCGUCAAAGUCAAUAAAAUGUAGACCAGGUUAUUCGCCAUAACCUGGUUUUUGGGACGUAACGUCUGGUUUUGGGAACUCCGCACAGUGAGAUAGACAUCCUCGGCGGGCCGAACUCAAGUCGACCAUACCAGCAGGAUUGUCAGCAAGGUCACACGUGGGCAGAGGACUCUACGGACACAGACGGUACUACCAGGGCAGGCACCGGUGCACCACACCCACAACCACAUCAAACCCGAACACUUCACACGAACCGUUGAUUUGGGCCCACUUUCGUUGAUUGUUUUGUAAUGUAUUAAUAAUGAUGUAUUUAUUUAGUUUCUUUGUAGGAUGAAAUUUAAGUGUAUGUUAAUAUUGGUGAUAUUGUGAAUUAAUUCAUCUUGAAAUUAUAUACAGAUCUGUCCUUCUUUCAUUUUGACUGAGUUGAGUCUUUACCAUCAGAGUUUAAUCUAAAGUACCAUUCCGGGGUCCUCCUGGUUGAGGGGGAUCUUGUGACAGUGUCCAUGUUCCAAAAACAAAUAGUGGGGCUGUUGAGUGAUGUGAUUGUGUACUUUGUGACUAAAGCAUGAAACUUCGCACGUUGGUUCUUCAUGCCAUGAAGAAAAAUGUGAGAUGUAGAGACUUUUCAUAUUUGACCUCUGGUGACCUUUGAGAGGUCAAUGACCCUUCGUACACUAUUUAUAACAAUUUGUUCUUGAAAACACCACUUUCUUAUUGCCCAAGUCUGUGUCAUAGGUCCUCAGGUAGGGAAAAUAAAGAUCAGAUGUGAAAGCCAAAAAAA